This 318-nucleotide ribosomal RNA is filed under the name uncultured bacterium. RNAcentral describes it as "bacterial SSU rRNA". It matches the Rfam family "Bacterial small subunit ribosomal RNA", at positions 29 to 325 of the family's 1533-position model. The record is from RNAcentral.
AGCGAACGCUGGCGGCGUGCUUAACACAUGCAAGUCGAGCGAAGGUGUUUCAAGGGUAACCUUGAGAUACACUUAGCGGCGGACGGGUGAGUAAUACGUGGAUAACUUACCUCUAGGCCUGGGAUAACCCCGGGAACGUGGGGCUAAUACCUGAUAAGACCACAUUGUCUACGGACAAAGGGGUAAAGGUGGCUGUGCAAACAGCUAUCGCCAAAAGAUAGGUUCACGUCCCAUCAGGCAGUUGGCGAGGUAAUGGCUCACCAAACCAAAGACGGGUAGCCGGCCUUGGCGGGUGAACGGCCACACGGGGACUGAGAC